RNAcentral lists this ribosomal RNA (253 nucleotides) under uncultured bacterium. RNAcentral describes it as "partial 16S ribosomal RNA". It matches the Rfam family "Bacterial small subunit ribosomal RNA", at positions 524 to 776 of the family's 1533-position model. The record is from RNAcentral.
UACGGAGGGAGCUAGCGUUGUUCGGAAUUACUUGUCUUAAAGCUCACUUAGGCGGCUUUUUAAGUCAGUGGUGAAAUCCCGGGGCUCAACCCCGGAACUGCCCUUGAAACUGGAGAGCUAGAAUCUUGGAGAGGCGAGUGGAAUUCCGAGUGUAGAGGUGAAAUUCGUAGAUAUUCGGAAGAACACCAGUGGCGAAGGCGACUCGCUGGACAAGUAUUGACGCUGAGGUGCGAAAGCGUGGGGAGCAAACAGG